AGCAGGCGCGAAAACUUUACAAUGCGGGAAACCGUGAUAAGGGGACACCGAGUGCUAGCAUCAUAUGCUGGCUGUCCAGGUGUGUAAACUACACCUGUUAGCAAGGGCCGGGCAAGACCGGUGCCAGCCGCCGCGGUAACACCGGCGGCCCGAGUGGUGAUCGUGAUUAUUGGGUCUAAAGGGUCCGUAGCCGGUUUGGUCAGUCCUCCGGGAAAUCUAAUAGCUCAACUAUUAGGCUUUCGGGGGAUACUGCCAGGCUUGGAACCGGGAGAGGUAAGAGGUACUACAGGGGUAGGAGUGAAAUCUUGUAAUCCCUGUGGGACCACCUGUGGCGAAGGCGUCUUACCAGAACGGGUUCGACGGUGAGGGACGAAAGCUGGGGGCACGAACCGGAUUAGAUACCCGGGUAGUCCCAGCCGUAAACGAUGCUCGCUAGGUGUCAGGCAUGGCGCGACCGUGUCUGGUGCCGCAGGGAAGCCGUGAAGCGAGCCACC
This 494-nucleotide ribosomal RNA is filed under the name uncultured archaeon. Its description in RNAcentral is "bacterial SSU rRNA". It matches the Rfam family "Archaeal small subunit ribosomal RNA", at positions 334 to 828 of the family's 1478-position model. The record is from RNAcentral.